This 648-nucleotide long non-coding RNA is filed under the name Homo sapiens (human). RNAcentral's name for it is "HSALNT0201338". The record is from RNAcentral. Lineage: Eukaryota; Metazoa; Chordata; Mammalia; Primates; Hominidae.
AAAGACUGUCUAAAUAAGUAGGCUGGAAAUCUGUGUCAGUACAAACCCAGGGCUAAGACAGCUGUGUCCUACCUGUAGAUCUUUCUUUUCAGAAGUACGUGUGUUUAUGGGCAGAGGAUGCUGUCAGGCAGGUCUGGAGCUGAGGAUCGCUGCGUGAAGCACAGCGUCAUCGAGAAUGCAAGACAGUCAUCAUCUGGAUGAAGGCUUCUGUUUCUGUGCCCAACCCCUGCCCUCCUGGAAAUGAAAUGCUUGGCACUCUUCCAUCCAUGCUGAAGAUCUCUGGUGGUGUCCACCAGCCUAGGUGCUCCCAUGUCUUUGUUCCCUGUGCUACGCCUGCUCCUUGGAAUACCCGCUCACCUCUUCUUGACUUUAUGAAGUGCUACUGAGCCUUCAAGACUUACGGACAAUGUCUCCUUUUUGGAAUUUUGCAGAUAAAGUCCCUAAUCAACUGACUUUAAAGAGGAGAGACAAUCCAGUGGACCUCACUUAAUCAGAAGGCCUUAAAAGCAAGACUGAGGCCUCACCAGGAGAGAAGAAAUUCCUCCUGUGUACAACAGCUUGAGCCCAUGCCCAGAGUCCGUCCUGCUUGUGCCUGUCCCUUCCUGACUGCUGCUCUAUGGAUUUUGGACUUGCUUAGCCAGCCCUCAU